This 87-nucleotide transfer RNA is filed under the name Leptolyngbya sp. FACHB-16. It matches the Rfam family "tRNA". From Rfam's summary of the family: Transfer RNA (tRNA) molecules are approximately 80 nucleotides in length. The record is from Rfam by way of RNAcentral. RNAcentral also lists the same sequence under 4 other names. Lineage: Bacteria; Bacillati; Cyanobacteriota; Cyanophyceae; Leptolyngbyales; Leptolyngbyaceae.
GGAGAGGUGGCAGAGUGGUUGAAUGCGGCAGACUCGAAAUCUGUUUUGGAGUCAAAUCCAACGGGGGUUCGAAUCCCCCCCUCUCCG